GAUGAACGCUGGCGGCGUGCCUAACACAUGCAAGUCGAGCGGCAGCGAGGGGUGCUUGCACCCUGUCGGCGAGCGGCGGACGGCUGAGUAACGCGUGGGAACGUGCCCCAAAGUGAGGAAUAACUGCCCGAAAGGGUAGCUAAUACCGCAUAUUAUCUUCGGAUCAAAGGAUUUAUCCGCUUUGGGAGCGGCUCGCGUCGGAUUAGGUAGUUGGUGAGGUAAUGGCUCACCAAGCCGACGAUCCGUAGCUGGUCUGAGAGGAUGACCAGCCAGACUGGAACUGAGACACGGUCCAGACUCCUACGGGAGGCAGCAGUGAGGAAUCUUCCACAAUGGGCGAAAGCCUGAUGGAGCAACGCCGCGUGCAGGACGAAGGCCUUCGGGUUGUAAACUGCUUUUAUAAGCGAGGAAUAUGACGGUAACUUAUGAAUAAGGAUCGGCUAACUACGUG
RNAcentral lists this ribosomal RNA (451 nucleotides) under uncultured bacterium. RNAcentral describes it as "partial 16S ribosomal RNA". It matches the Rfam family "Bacterial small subunit ribosomal RNA", at positions 28 to 507 of the family's 1533-position model. The record is from RNAcentral.